GAGGCGUGGCAGACGGGUGAGUAACGCGUGGGAACAUACCUUUUGGUUCGGAACAACACAGGGAAACUUGUGCUAAUACCGGAUAAGCCCUUACGGGGAAAGAUUUAUCGCCGAAAGAUUGGCCCGCGUCUGAUUAGCUAGUUGGUGAGGUAACGGCUCACCAAGGCGACGAUCAGUAGCUGGUCUGAGAGGAUGAUCAGCCACAUUGGGACUGAGACACGGCCCAA
RNAcentral lists this ribosomal RNA (227 nucleotides) under uncultured bacterium. RNAcentral describes it as "partial 16S ribosomal RNA". It matches the Rfam family "Bacterial small subunit ribosomal RNA", at positions 90 to 334 of the family's 1533-position model. The record is from RNAcentral.